GACGAACGCUGGCGGCGUGCCUAAUACAUGCAAGUCGAACGAGUGGCGGACGGGUGAGUAAUGUCUGGGAAACUGCCUGAUGGAGGGGGAUAACUACUGGAAACGGUAGCUAAUACCGCAUACCAUCAGAUGUGCCCAGAUGGGAGUAGCUUGUUGGUGGGGUAACGGCUCACCAAGGCGACGAUCCCUAGCUGGUCUGAGAGGAUGACCAGCCAAACUGGAACUGCGACACGGUCCAGACUCCUACGGGAGGCAGCAGUGGGGAAUAUUUGACAAUGGGCGCAAGCCUGAUGGAGCCACGCCGCGUGUAUGAAGAAGGCCUUCGGGUUGUAAAUUACUGUCAGCGGGGAGGCGUUACCCGAAGAAGAAGCACCGGCUAACUCCGUGCCAGCCGCCGCGGUAAUUC
Molecule: ribosomal RNA, 406 nt
Filed under: uncultured bacterium
Lineage: Bacteria
Description: partial 16S ribosomal RNA
Rfam family: Bacterial small subunit ribosomal RNA
Source: RNAcentral